GGCUGUGCGGCUGCAGAGCCGGUGGCAGGAGCUGAGUGAGAGAGAGCGUCAGGCCCAGCAGCAGAACAGGCAGCUGCUGCAGGAGUUUGACAGAGCCCAGGACACUCUGAGAGACAUGGUCACCCGCAACGCCGCUAUGAAUACCAUAAAAGUGGAGUAUGAAAGGUAUCUGGAGGAGAGCUUCCCUCGCUGGCAGCAGCAGCUCAAACAGAAGACACUAUCUGCCCAACGCAAGCGAUUGGAGCAGCACCUGAAGGAGUGCCUGAGGAGUAUGGAGGAGGACAAUGCUGAAGAGAGGGGCUCCAGACCCCCCAUUGG
Long non-coding RNA from Oncorhynchus masou masou (cherry salmon), 318 nucleotides. RefSeq lists it as uncharacterized. NCBI's taxonomy places the organism in Eukaryota, Metazoa, Chordata, Actinopteri, Salmoniformes, Salmonidae. The transcript has 3 exons. The record is from RefSeq and is a predicted model, not a curated record.